This 504-nucleotide ribosomal RNA is filed under the name uncultured bacterium. RNAcentral describes it as "partial 16S ribosomal RNA". It matches the Rfam family "Bacterial small subunit ribosomal RNA", at positions 29 to 523 of the family's 1533-position model. The record is from RNAcentral.
AUUGAACGCUGGCGGCAGGCCUAACACAUGCAAGUCGAACGGUAGCACAGAGAGCUUGCUCUCGGGUGACGAGUGGCGGACGGGUGAGUAACGUCUGGGAAACUGCCCGAUGGAGGGGGAUAACUACUGGAAACGGUAGCUAAUACCGCAUAACGUCGCAAGACCAAAGGGGGGGACCUUCGGGCCUCACACCAUCGGAUGUGCCCAGAUGGGAUUAGCUAGCAGGUGGGGUAAUGGCUCACCUAGGCGACGAUCCCUAGCUGGUCUGAGAGGAUGACCAGCCACACUGGAACUGAGACACGGUCCAGACUCCUACGGGAGGCAGCAGUGGGGAAUAUUGCACAAUGGGCGCAAGCCUGAUGCAGCCAUGUCGCGUGUAUGAAGAAGGCCUUCGGGUUGUAAAGUACUUUCAGCGGGGAGGAAGGCGGUGAAGUUAAUAGCUUCACCGAUUGACGUUACCCGCAGAAGAAGCACCGGCUAACUCCGUGCCAGCCGCCGCGGUAA